Molecule: non-coding RNA, 24 nt
Filed under: Arabidopsis thaliana (thale cress)
Lineage: Eukaryota; Viridiplantae; Streptophyta; Magnoliopsida; Brassicales; Brassicaceae
Source: RNAcentral
AGAGAAAACGAUAAGAUUAAUGAA